This is a long non-coding RNA of Coturnix japonica (Japanese quail), 777 nucleotides long. RefSeq lists it as uncharacterized. The record is from RefSeq and is a predicted model, not a curated record. NCBI's taxonomy places the organism in Eukaryota, Metazoa, Chordata, Aves, Galliformes, Phasianidae.
GGGAUGGGGAUGGGGCCCUUCCGGGACGGUGAGAUGGGGGUCGGUGGGGGCAGGGGCUUGGGGUUGUUUUUUGCGCUCCGAUGUGGCCCUGCGUCGAGGUUGGAAGUGGUUGCGGCUCCUGAAGCCAGCAGAGGAGAAACAGCAGCCUGAGGUGAAACAACAUUCAACAGAACCUCAUCAGGUGCUUUCAGAGGACUCUGAAAAAAGCUUAAGCAGCAGUCACAGGAGAUUAAAUGCAGUUAAGCAUAACACAGUGUGAAGAUGAGACGAAAAAUGAAGCAGAGGUGCCUUAUCUCCCAGUUCAUAGCAGCACAAGUUUUAUAUUCCAGACACAAUGUCUGGGUUGAAAUCGUACUACGUAAAUCCGUAAGCCCCAGCUGGUAGUUAAGCAGUUCACAGCACAGAUGUCUGUGGAAGAGAAGCUCCUGCAGCCAGCCAGCCCUGUACUGACAGCAAGCAGUUCUCACUGCAGCACUGUGGUUAGCUGUGUCACGCAACAUAUAAAUCAUAAAGACAAAGGCAGCUUUCCCUGGCCAGGUCAGUAAGAAGAAACCACAGUUACCAAAUCAGUGUCUUGGCACUGCAACUGCACAGCGCCUCAGUGGAGCAGGUUAACGGGGUCGGGUCCCUUCCUCCAGAGGUUUGGCCUCACUCACCUUCAGGCAGCUGAGUUUCUGUUGACUCAAAGGGGAAGCAAGAAGUUUGAGGAAUGCUGCUGAAAGGCCUCAUGUUGUCUGACAUCCUAUGACAAGGAAAAAUAAACUCCUUUGACCACAA